ACAUGCAAGUCGAACGGAAAGGCCCUGCUUGCAGGGUACUCGAGUGGCGAACGGGUGAGUAACACGUGGGUGAUCUGCCCUGCACUUCGGGAUAAGCUUGGGAAACUGGGUCUAAUACCGGAUAGGACCGCACUUUAGUGUGUGUGGUGGAAAGUUUUUUCGGUGUAGGAUGAGCUCGCGGCCUAUCAGCUUGUUGGUGGGGUAAUGGCCUACCAAGGCGGCGACGGGUAGCCGGCCUGAGAGGGUGUACGGCCACAUUGGGACUGAGAUACGGCCCAGACUCCUACGGGAGGCAGCAGUGGGGAAUAUUGCACAAUGGGCGCAAGCCUGAUGCAGCGACGCCGCGUGGGGGAUGAAGGCCUUCGGGUUGUAAACUCCUUUCGCUAGGGACGAAGCUUUUUGUGACGGUACCUAGAUAAGAAGCACCGGCUAACUACGUGCCAGCAGCCGCGGUAAUACGUAGGGUGCGAGCGUUGUCCGGAAUUACUGGGCGUAAAGGGCUCGUAGGUGGUUUGUCGCGUCGUCUGUGAAAUUCUGGGGCUUAACUCCGGGCGUGCAGGCGAUACGGGCAUAACUUGAGUGCUGUAGGGGUAACUGGAAUUCCUGGUGUAGCGGUGAAAUGCGCAGAUAUCAGGAGGAACACCGAUGGCGAAGGCAGGUUACUGGGCAGUUACUGACGCUGAGGAGCGAAA
RNAcentral lists this ribosomal RNA (692 nucleotides) under uncultured Actinomycetales bacterium. RNAcentral's name for it is "bacterial SSU rRNA". It matches the Rfam family "Bacterial small subunit ribosomal RNA", at positions 53 to 758 of the family's 1533-position model. The record is from RNAcentral. Lineage: Bacteria; Bacillati; Actinomycetota; Actinomycetes; Actinomycetales.